Molecule: ribosomal RNA, 482 nt
Filed under: uncultured bacterium
Lineage: Bacteria
Description: partial 16S ribosomal RNA
Rfam family: Bacterial small subunit ribosomal RNA
Source: RNAcentral
GACGAACGCUGGCGGCGUGCUUAACACAUGCAAGUCGAACGAUGAAACCUAGCUUGCUAGGUCGAUUAGUGGCGAACGGGUGAGUAACACGUGACUAACCUGCCCCUUUCUCUGGGAUAACGCUCCGACAGGCGGGCUAAUACCGGAUACUCACACCUCGGCCCAUGCCUUGGUGUGGAAAGUUUUUCGGAAAGGGAUGGAGUCGCGGCCUAUCAGCUUGUUGGUGAGGUAACGGCUCACCAGGGCGACGACGGGUAGCCGGCCUGAGAGGGCGACCGGCCACACUGGGACUGAGACACGGCCCAGACUCCUACGGGAGGCAGCAGUGGGGAAUAUUGCACAAUGGGCGCAAGCCUGAUGCAGCGACGCCGCGUGAGGGAUGAAGGUCUUCGGAUUGUAAACCUCUUUCAGUAGGGACGAAGCGAAAGUGACGGUACCUAAAGAAGAAGCACCGGCUAACUACGUGCCAGCCGCCGCCGUAA